Molecule: long non-coding RNA, 269 nt
Filed under: Ananas comosus (pineapple)
Lineage: Eukaryota; Viridiplantae; Streptophyta; Magnoliopsida; Poales; Bromeliaceae
Description: long non-coding RNA (ACOM_LNC042310)
Source: RNAcentral
GCUCAUGUUAAAACUCUUGGACUUCGUAGGAUUUGAUUGUGUAAAUAGUCGAUUAUUUUUUGGUCUUUUAUUUUUUUGUAAUUUUUGGUUAUUUAAUUAUAAUUUAUUAUUUUGGUAAAGAUAUUUGGUAAGAUUAGUACACGUGCAUAUAUUUUUGAUGUCAUUAUUAAACUGAUUGAUAGUACGUCACAGGCUGAUUGACCCUCUCAUACGGGCAAUUAUUCUUUUCGUCGCUGUAGAGAUCAAGCGAAAAUUGAGGCAUUAAUGAA